AAGUCGAGCGGAAAGGCCCUUCGGGGUACUCGAGCGGCGAACGGGUGAGUAACACGUGAGCAACCUGCCCUAGGCUUUGGGAUAACCCUCGGAAACGGGGGCUAAUACCGAAUACGACCUUAGGCCGCAUGGUGGUUGGUGGAAAGUUUUUCGGCCUGGGAUGGGCUCGCGGCCUAUCAGCUUGUUGGUGGGGUGAUGGCCUACCAAGGCGACGACGGGUAGCCGGCCUGAGAGGGCGACCGGCCACACUGGGACUGAGACACGGCCCAGACUCCUACGGGAGGCAGCAGUGGGGAAUAUUGCACAAUGGGCGGAAGCCUGAUGCAGCGACGCCGCGUGAGGGAUGACGGCCUUCGGGUUGUAAACCUCUUUCAGCAGGGACGAAGCGUAAGUGACGGUACCUGCAGAAGAAGCGCCGGCCAACUACGUGCCAGCAGCCGCGGUAAGACGUAGGGCGCGAGCGUUGUCCGGAUUUAUUGGGCGUAAAGAGCUCGUAGGCGGCUUGUCGCGUCGACCGUGAAAACUUGGGGCUCAACCCCAAGCCUGCGGUCGAUACGGGCAGGCUAGAGUUCGGUAGGGGAGACUGGAAUUCCUGGUGUAGCGGUGAAAUGCGCAGAUAUCAGGAGGAACACCGGUGGCGAAGGCGGGUCUCUGGGCCGAUACUGACGCU
This 670-nucleotide ribosomal RNA is filed under the name Micromonospora sp. 162. RNAcentral's name for it is "bacterial SSU rRNA". It matches the Rfam family "Bacterial small subunit ribosomal RNA", at positions 59 to 747 of the family's 1533-position model. The record is from RNAcentral. Lineage: Bacteria; Bacillati; Actinomycetota; Actinomycetes; Micromonosporales; Micromonosporaceae.